GACAGAGGGUGCAAACGUUGCUCGGAAUUACUGGGCGUAAAGCGCGUGUAGGCGGACCACCAAGUCGGACGUGAAAGCCCUGAGCUCAACUCAGGAACUGCAUCCGAAACUGGCGGUCUGGAGUAGUGGAGAGGAAAGCAGAAUUCCUGGUGUAGAGGUGAAAUUCGUAGAUAUCAGGAGGAACACCGGUGGCGAAGGCGGCUUUCUGGACGGUAACUGACGCUGAGACGCGAAAGCGUGGGGAGCAAACAGG
Molecule: ribosomal RNA, 253 nt
Filed under: uncultured bacterium
Lineage: Bacteria
Description: partial 16S ribosomal RNA
Rfam family: Bacterial small subunit ribosomal RNA
Source: RNAcentral